CCCUUAGAUGUUCUGGGCCGCACGCGCGCUACACUGAUGCAUUCAACGAGUUUCUUCCUGGUCCGAGAGGAAUGGGUAACCUUUUGAAAGUGCAUCGUGAUAGGGAUAGACUAUUGCAAUUAUUGGUCUUCAACGAGGAAUUCCUAGUAGACGUAGUUCAUCAGACUGCAUCGAUUACGUCCCUGCCCUUUGUACACACCGCCCGUCGCUUCUACCGAUUGGACGCUGCGGUGAAGACCUGGGAUUGAGAAGGGGGGUUUGGAGGUUUUCGGAUUUCCAGCCCCUCGUCCCGAGAACUCGUCUGAACCCCAUCGUCUAGAGGAAGAAGAAGUCGUAACA
RNAcentral lists this ribosomal RNA (339 nucleotides) under uncultured eukaryote. RNAcentral describes it as "partial 18S ribosomal RNA". It matches the Rfam family "Eukaryotic small subunit ribosomal RNA", at positions 1470 to 1796 of the family's 1831-position model. The record is from RNAcentral.